Molecule: small nuclear RNA, 160 nt
Filed under: Prolemur simus (greater bamboo lemur)
Lineage: Eukaryota; Metazoa; Chordata; Mammalia; Primates; Lemuridae
Description: U1 spliceosomal RNA (ENSPSMG00000018522.1)
Rfam family: U1 spliceosomal RNA
About the family: U1 is a small nuclear RNA (snRNA) component of the spliceosome (involved in pre-mRNA splicing).
Source: Rfam by way of RNAcentral
AUACUUAUCUGGCAGGGGAAACACCCUGAUCACUAAGGUGGUUUUCCCAGGAUGAGGCUCAUGCAUUGCACUCUGGGUGUGCCAGCCUCUGCGGUUUGCAGUUUGGGGAAACCCAACUGCAUAAUUUGUGGUAGUGGGGGACUGCACUUGCACUCUCCCC